CACCAGCUGUGUGGUGUGUAAGAA
Molecule: non-coding RNA, 24 nt
Filed under: Mus musculus (house mouse)
Lineage: Eukaryota; Metazoa; Chordata; Mammalia; Rodentia; Muridae
Source: RNAcentral